UGCAGGUCCAACGGUUCCUGUGUGGUCAUUGUCUUUGCUUUAGAGGGUGCCUCAGCCCUGAGAGGGCUGGUAGGACUGAUCAUGUCCAUGGACAGGCAGCCUGAUGCAUUUACCUUUCCUCUGACAGGGCUGCUCAGCUUCCUGUGGUGACAGGGAUGUGAAGUUGGCUCCCACCCCCACACACCCCGACUCCACCCAGGAGGCUCCUCCUCUCAGAGCAGAGUGGGAAACAGAUGCCCACAGAGGACUCAGCCGGCUCAGGGAGGUGUGAGGGCAGGCAGGGCCCUCAGGUUUCACAGUUCAACUGGAAGGAAAUGAAAACUAUCCAUCGCUGGCUCAGAAGAGACAGAGGCAUGCGAAGGGGCUGUCACCAAAAGUGGCUUCAGACGAGGAGUGUGGCUUUUCAGAAUCCAGCAGUGGAUGGGGCCAAGGCCAUUUCUCUCAAAAAGGACCUGGAUGAGCUGCCCAGGCCACAGCCUGCACCCUGUUCCCUCUGCCUCUGUGGGGCCCAGUGCUUGGGGAGUGACAAUGAAAUGAAUGAAUGGUGGAGCCAGGGAAGGGAGGAAGCUGACGAGUGUGGCAUUGACAGGGCAGUGGCUGACUUUGUUUGCUUACAGUUGUCCUCUUGCAGAUGAGUCCUGCAUUUGGGGAGAGAGUAGAAUGUCCCUUGGGUGCCCCAUUGCCUUUGGAAGAAGAUGUUUUGAAAACUGGAACUUGCAGGCCAGGCUUCCCUUGGCCUUUGCCCUGACUCAAACAUUUGGUUCAGACACCAUCCACUUAAUUAAGCAAUGGACUCUAGUCAUUUCCAUAGAUACCAAGGACUUUUAAAAUAUAUUGUGAUUUCUUUUUCUUUAUAAGUUGUGAUAAGAUAUGCACAACAUAAAAUUUAUAUCUUAACCCUUUUUAGUGCACAAUCCGGGUACAUCCACAUUAUUGUGAAACCAAUCUCCAGAGCUUCAUCAUCUUGCAAAACUGAACUCUGUACCCAUUAAACAGUAACCUCCCAUUACUCUUCUUUCCCCCAACUCCUGACUACAAUCAUUCUCCCUUCUAUCUCUACAAAUUUGACUCUUCUAGGCACCUCAUAUAAGAGGAAUAAUACAGCAUUUGUUUCUUGUAACUGGCUUAUUUCGCUUUAUGUAAAAUCUUCAAGGUUCGUUCAUGUUGUAGCAUGUGUCAGAUUUUCUUUCCUUUUUAAAGGCAGAGUAAUAUCCCAUUGUAUGUAUGUGCUACAUUUUGUUUAUCUAUUCAUCUAUGAUGAGUCACCUUUGGUGACUGAGAGUAAUACUGCUACAAACAUCUGAGAGCCUGUUUUCUUUUUUUUUCCUCACUUUUUUAUUGGUGCAUUAAAGUUGUAUAUAUUGAUGAG
Molecule: long non-coding RNA, 1369 nt
Filed under: Urocitellus parryii (Arctic ground squirrel)
Lineage: Eukaryota; Metazoa; Chordata; Mammalia; Rodentia; Sciuridae
Description: lncRNA (ENSUPAG00010003606.1)
Source: RNAcentral